Molecule: ribosomal RNA, 467 nt
Filed under: uncultured bacterium
Lineage: Bacteria
Description: partial 16S ribosomal RNA
Rfam family: Bacterial small subunit ribosomal RNA
Source: RNAcentral
GACGAACGCUGGCGGCGUGCUUAACACAUGCAAGUCGAACGGAAAGGCCCUGCUUUUGUGGGGUGCUCGAGUGGCGAACGGGUGAGUAACACGUGAGUAACCUGCCCUUGACUUUGGGAUAACUUCAGGAAACUGGGGCUAAUACCGGAUAGGAGCUCCUGCUGCAUGGUGGGGGUUGGAAAGUUUCGGCGGUUGGGGCUGGACUCGCGGCUUAUAAGCUUGUUGGUGGGGUAGUGGCUUACCAAGGCUUUGACGGGUAGCCGGCCUGAGAGGGUGACCGGCCACAUUGGGACUGGGAUGCGGCCCAGACUCCUACGGGAGGCAGCAGUGGGGAAUAUUGCACAAUGGGCGGAAGCCUGAUGCAGCAACGCCGCGUGCGGGAUGACGGCCUUCGGGUUGUAAACCGCUUUCGCCUGUGACGAAGCGUGAGUGACGGUAAUGGGUAAAGAAGCACCGGCUAACUACGU